RNAcentral lists this ribosomal RNA (449 nucleotides) under uncultured bacterium. RNAcentral's name for it is "bacterial SSU rRNA". It matches the Rfam family "Bacterial small subunit ribosomal RNA", at positions 329 to 797 of the family's 1533-position model. The record is from RNAcentral.
AGCCAGACUCCUACGGGAGGCAGCAGUGGGGGAUAUUGCACAAUGGGGGAAACCCUGAUGCAGCGACGCCGCGUGAGUGAAGAAGUAUUUCGGUAUGUAAAGCUCUAUCAGCAGGGAAGAAAAUGGCGGUACCUGACUAAGAAGCCCCGGCUAACUACGUGCCAGCAGCCGCGGUAAUACGUAGGGGGCAAGCGUUAUCCGGAUUUACUGGGUGUAAAGGGAGCGUAGACGGCAGCACAAGUCUGGAGUGAAAUCCCGGGGCUUAACCCCGGAACUGCUUUGGAAACUGUGCGGCUGGAGUGCAGGAGAGGUAAGCGGAAUUCCUAGUGUAGCGGUGAAAUGCGUAGAUAUUAGGAGGAACACCAGUGGCGAAGGCGGCUUACUGGACUGCAACUGACGUUGAGGCUCGAAAGCGUGGGGAGCAAACAGGAUUAGAUACCCCAGUACCA